This is a long non-coding RNA of Equus quagga, 745 nucleotides long. RefSeq lists it as uncharacterized. The transcript is spliced from 3 exons. The record is from RefSeq and is a predicted model, not a curated record. Lineage: Eukaryota; Metazoa; Chordata; Mammalia; Perissodactyla; Equidae.
GGAGAAUAACACGUCAGGUGGUGAGCACCAGGCCAGCUUCUGACAACACUGAGACCUAGUGUAGAUGAAAACAGACCCACACCAUGACAAUCACAACGAAAUUUCAGAAAGAGGAUAGAAAAGAAGAGACCUUGAAAACUUCAAGAGGCAACAAACACAGGCCCGGAGUCUAGAAGACAUUUUAGCAAUGCCUUCCAAAUUCCGAGGAAAUAUAUUCCAACACGGAGUUCUUAUCAAGUCAAGAUGUUACUGCCAGGCAAAGUGAGAAACAGUAAUGGAGAAAACCAAAAAAUGGAAAAAAUGGGAUCCACGCAACAGGGGAGCUAGAACAAAGAAGACAAAGGGCUCCCAGGGUGAGGUGAAGGAGAUCCGGGAUGUCAGCCCUGCCCCAGGAGUGCAGGGAACCUGUCCACGUGUGGCAAGACUGAGGGCUGUGAGACAGGUGUUUCCACAAAGAUGAAGUUGGUAGAAUGCCUAAUGUGCUCAAAUAUAUUUGUGAACAUUUAGACUCUGGGGAGAGUAGUGGAAUGAUUUAAUAAUGAAUACAACAGAAGCUAAGCAAAUGAAGGAACAAGAUAUUUACUAACUGCAAGGAACAUGAAAAGUUGAUUCAAGAAAGGGAAAGAUAUCAUAGUUUCCUAAAUGCUCAGUUGUGACUAAUGUUUACUGGUCCUAAUAAUGCAGACACUGCACAUUGAGCUAAUCAGUUGUACAGUAAUUAUAUUGGGAGGAUGGGAGAGUGUGA